This 73-nucleotide transfer RNA is filed under the name Mustela putorius furo (domestic ferret). It matches the Rfam family "tRNA". Rfam says of the family: Transfer RNA (tRNA) molecules are approximately 80 nucleotides in length. Their secondary structure includes four short double-helical elements and three loops (D, anti-codon, and T loops). Further hydrogen bonds mediate the characteristic L-shaped molecular structure. tRNAs have two regions of fundamental functional importance: the anti-codon, which is responsible for specific mRNA codon recognition, and the 3' end, to which the tRNAs corresponding amino acid is attached (by aminoacyl-tRNA synthetases). tRNAs cope with the degeneracy of the genetic code in two manners: having more than one tRNA (with a specific anti-codon) for a particular amino acid; and 'wobble' base-pairing, i.e. permitting non-standard base-pairing at the 3rd anti-codon position. Lineage: Eukaryota; Metazoa; Chordata; Mammalia; Carnivora; Mustelidae. The record is from Rfam by way of RNAcentral.
ACCUGGCUAGCAUAGUCUGUGGAGCACAUGAUUCUUAAUCUUGGGAUCAUGGGUUCAAGCCCCAUGUUGGGAU